This 232-nucleotide ribosomal RNA is filed under the name uncultured bacterium. RNAcentral describes it as "partial 16S ribosomal RNA". The record is from RNAcentral.
CUGCUGCCUCCCGUAGGAGUCUGGGCCGUGUCUCAGUCCCAAUGUGGCCGGCCAACCUCUCAGUCCGGCUACUGAUCGUCGCCUUGGUGGGCCGUUACCCCGCCAACUAGCUAAUCAGACGCGAGUCCAUCUCAGAGCGAUAAAUCUUUGGCAGUCAGAGCCAUGCGGCCCAACUGCAUCAUGCGGUAUUAGCAGCUGUUUCCAGCUGUUAUUCCCCACUCCAAGGCAGGUU